AUUAGAAGUAGUUUAAUUAGAAUUGUAGCUUUGGGAGUUAUAGGUGCUGUUUAGUCUUCUAGUU
This 64-nucleotide transfer RNA is filed under the name Geukensia demissa (ribbed mussel). RNAcentral's name for it is "tRNA-Pro". Lineage: Eukaryota; Metazoa; Mollusca; Bivalvia; Mytilida; Mytilidae. The record is from RNAcentral.